CAGUAGCCGCGGUAAUACGUAGGGUGCGAGCGUUAAUCGGAAUUACUGGGCGUAAAGCGUGCGCAGGCGGCUUUGCAAGACAGAUGUGAAAUCCUCGGGCUCAACCUGGGAACUGCAUUUGUGACUGCAUGGCUAGAGUACGGUAGAGGGGGAUGGAAUUCCGCGUGUAGCAGUGAAAUGCGUAGAUAUGCGGAGGAACACCGAUGGCGAAGGCAAUCCCUUGGACCUGUACUGACGCUCAUGCACGAAAGCGUGGGGAGCAAACAGGAUUAGAUACCCCCGUAGUCCCUGUCUCUUAUAC
Molecule: ribosomal RNA, 301 nt
Filed under: uncultured bacterium
Lineage: Bacteria
Description: partial 16S ribosomal RNA
Rfam family: Bacterial small subunit ribosomal RNA
Source: RNAcentral